This 440-nucleotide ribosomal RNA is filed under the name uncultured bacterium. RNAcentral's name for it is "partial 16S ribosomal RNA". It matches the Rfam family "Bacterial small subunit ribosomal RNA", at positions 338 to 795 of the family's 1533-position model. The record is from RNAcentral.
CCUACGGGUGGCAGCAGUGGGGGAUAUUGCACAAUGGGGGAAACCCUGAUGCAGCGACGCCGCGUGGGUGAAGAAGGGCCUCGGCGCGGAAAGCCCUGUCAGCAGGGAAGAAAAUGACGGUACCUGAAGAAGAAGCCGCGGCUAACUACGUGCCAGCAGCCGCGGGAAUACGUAGGGGGCAAGAGUUAUCCGGAUUUACUGGGUGUAAAGGGGGCGCCGACGGCGCGGCAAGCCAGGGGUGAAAGCCCGGGGCCCAACCCCGGGACUGCUCUUGGAACUGCGUGGCUAGAGUGCAGUAUGGGCAGGCGGCAUUCCUGGUGUAGCGGUGAAAUGCGUAGAUAUCAGGAGGAACCCCGGUGGCGAAGGCGGCCUGCUGGACUGCAACUGACGUUGAGGCCCGAAAGCGUGGGGAGCAAACAGGAUUAGAUACCCGUGUAGUC